CAACCGGCCCUUUUCAGGGCCAUCAAAUUUUUUUCAAACGUAAAG
Nasonia vitripennis (jewel wasp) is the source of this 45-nucleotide non-coding RNA. Lineage: Eukaryota; Metazoa; Arthropoda; Insecta; Hymenoptera; Pteromalidae. The record is from Rfam.